RNAcentral lists this transfer RNA (91 nucleotides) under Microbispora rosea subsp. aerata. Its description in RNAcentral is "tRNA-Asp". Lineage: Bacteria; Bacillati; Actinomycetota; Actinomycetes; Streptosporangiales; Streptosporangiaceae. The record is from RNAcentral.
UGCUGAUCGGCCAGGUCCUGGCCCAGCGGGCGAUCGCCCCGCUGGGCGAGACCCUCGACCGGCAGCGCCGGUUCACCGCCGACGUCAGCCA